AAUGGGCGGGAUUGAAAAUUCGGUUUUGGCACCGGUUCGCCUUAAACCGGUGCCAACUAUGGUAAUUAGCACCAGUUCAAAUCGGUGCCAAUUAAAAAAGGAAAAAAAAAAUUGAGGUAUGCGUUACUCUGCUUCUUCAUUCUCUUUCCUGUUCUUUUUCCAUUUCCAUUCUCUCUCUUCUCUCUCUUCAUAUGCUCUCCUCUCUCACCUCAACCAUACCUUCAACCGCAACCGCAACCACCAUGCACCGCUCAUAGAUUCUCUCUCCCCUUUUCUUUUCGUGCUCUCUCCUCUAGCCUCCUUUUACCCUAUCAAUCGUUUUCUAGGGUUUAUCGCCCUUGUUAUACCUCUAAAUCUCAAUCUCAUAUCCAAUCACCUCUCUCUAAUUUCUAGGGUUUCGAAUUACACUAAUGUUGCAAUAAUUGGAGGCUGGAGUUGGUGGUGAUUAAAUUGAUGUUGUUGAACACAAAGAGGCAAACUAAUAUCAGCAGGCUACACUUCUUCUUUCUCGAGGUUUCUUCAUCUUGCUCGAUCUUUCACUCUAUGUUACUCUCCUAAUUAAAGUACUUAUCGAUUUUUUAAUUUCUGUAAUUUCGAUCAACUUCUGUCGUUUUUUAAGAUAUUAGGGUUUAUUACUCUUAUCUGGGUUUUCAUUUCAUUUUUUAUCGGCCAAUUUCUGAAGCAUGCAUAUCAUUUUAUUUGUUAUUCAUAUCAUUUUUGAUAAUCUUGAAGCUGAUUGAUGGAAAUGAUUGAUCUGGGUGUUUGUAAUUCUUGUUAAUUUUGUGUUUUUCUAGUGUUACUUUGAUAAUUAUGAAGAUCUGUCGUGAUAAUUUUUGUGGGUUUUUUUUUUAUUGAAUUAGUUUUGUGACCGAUUUGAAUUAGAGAUCUAUUCAAUUAGUUAUUUUAUUUAAGUUCAUUGAUUACUGGGGCUCUUUGUUUGUGCUUAUGAAUUAGAGAAUUACUAAAUUAAUUUUGUGGGGUUGUUGAAUAUGAUAAUUUACUGAUAAAUUUAGGUGUAUUAAUUUGAUGCUUUAUCAGGUUAAAGUUAGAAUUUAAUUUGCUGAAAUUAUUACAGUUGAGGCAGUGUUUUUAUGCUUAUUGUGUUACCUUGAAUUUACAGAUUAAAAGUUGUUGCUGCAUUUUAGUUAGAUUUGUAGAUUUGAGGGAUUGAAGUGGGUUAUCAAAGAGGUUGAGCAUUGGAUGAAUGGGUUGGAAGAUACAUAUUGAUGAACUGCCCAGGUGUAAAGAUCUGGGCUGAAGUUUCCUUUGUUUUCGUGUUCGUUUUUCUGCUGCAUUUGCCUAUGGGUCAACAAAUCCCAGUGAUGGAUGGAAAGAUUCGUGAUGUGCUUUUUGAAAUUCUUGAGAAUGAAGACGAUGUUGUUAAAAAGCAUGGUGCACAGUCUAGAGAGAGUUGACGUGCAGCUACACAAGGAAUGCACACAUCAAGAUUCUGCUUGCAUCCUGCUGGCAAUACUCCAUCCGCUUGUCGUCUCUUUGAUGCCAUUCAGGAGAUGAAGAAGGUAUUUAACAGAUACCCAGCCAGCCUGAACAGGACAGAGGCACAGCAGCACAGCAAACAGCAGAGCAGCAGGUCAGCCUGAACAUACAACAACACAUCAGCCAGCAGAGCAGCCACCAGCACAAGACAGCCUGAACGGAAGCAAAACCAAUCACCCAGCCAGCUUGAACAGAGCAGAAACACAGCCACAGAAGCAGAACAGCCACAACCAUCAGAGCAGAAACAUAGCCACAUCCAUCAGAGCAAAAACACAGAGAUAAAUCUGGAUUAUUUAAUGAGAUGCAAGAAAGGUACUCAGAGAUAAGUCUGGAUUAUUUAAUUUUUUUUGGACGAAAAUUGUAAUAUUACAGCCUUUUUUAAUGAAA
This is a long non-coding RNA of Chenopodium quinoa (quinoa), 1884 nucleotides long. RefSeq lists it as uncharacterized. Lineage: Eukaryota; Viridiplantae; Streptophyta; Magnoliopsida; Caryophyllales; Amaranthaceae. The record is from RefSeq and is a predicted model, not a curated record. The transcript has 3 exons.